GACGAACGCUGGCGGCGUGCUUAACACAUGCAAGUCGAACGGUGAAGCGCCUUCCUUUUUGGUGGGUGUGGAUGAGUGGCGAACGGGUGAGUAACACGUGAGUAACCUGCCCCCUUCUUCUGGAUAACCGCAUGAAAGUGUGGCUAAUACGGGAUAUUCUGGGUCUGUCGCAUGAUGGGUCUGGGAAAGAUAUUGUUUCGGUGGGGGAUGGGCUCGCGGCCUAUCAGCUUGUUGGUGGGGUGAUGGCCUACCGAGGCGGUGACGGGUAGCCGGCCUGAGAGGGUGGACGGUCACACUGGGACUGAGACACGGCCCAGACUCCUACGGGAGGCAGCAGUGGGGAAUAGUGCACAAUGGGCGCAAGCCUGAUGCAGCGACGCCGCGUGAGGGAUGGAGGCCUUCGGGUUGUGAACCUCUUUCGCCAGUGAAGCAGGCCUGCCUCGUUUGUGGGUGGGUUGACGGUAGCUGGAUAAGAAGCGCCGGCUAACUACGUG
Molecule: ribosomal RNA, 494 nt
Filed under: uncultured bacterium
Lineage: Bacteria
Description: partial 16S ribosomal RNA
Rfam family: Bacterial small subunit ribosomal RNA
Source: RNAcentral